ACUCAAAUGAAUAGACGGGGGCCCGCACAAGCGGCGGAGCAUGCGGAUUAAUUCGAUGCAACGCGAAGAACCUUACCUGGGUUUGACAUAUGCCGGAAAGCUCUAGAGAUAGAGCCCCUUUUAGUCGGUAUACAGGUGGUGCAUGGCUGUCGUCAGCUCGUGUCGUGAGAUGUUGGGUUAAGUCCCGCAACGAGCGCAACCCUCGUUCUAUGUUGCCAGCAUGCCUUUUAGGUGAUGGGGACUCAUAGGAGACUGCCGGGGUCAACUCGGAGGAAGGUGGGGAUGACGUCAAGUCAUCAUGCCCCUUAUGUCCAGGGCUUCACGCAUGCUACAAUGGCCGGUACAAAGGGCUGCGAUGCUGUAAGGCGGAGCGAAUCCCAAAAAGCCGGUCUCAGUUCGGAUUGGGGUCUGCAACUCGACCCCAUGAAGUCGGAGUCGCUAGUAAUCGCAGAUCAGCAACGCUGCGGUGAAUACGUUCCCGGGCCUUGUACACACCGCCCGU
RNAcentral lists this ribosomal RNA (502 nucleotides) under uncultured bacterium. RNAcentral's name for it is "partial 16S ribosomal RNA". It matches the Rfam family "Bacterial small subunit ribosomal RNA", at positions 899 to 1397 of the family's 1533-position model. The record is from RNAcentral.